AUACCUACCUGGCAGGGAAGACAGCAGGACCACAAAGGUGGUUUCCCAGGUGAGGCUUAUCCAUUGCACUCCAGACGCGCAGACCUUCAGUUUCCCCAAAUGAGGGAAAUUGCAUAAUUUGUGGUGGUGGUGGUGGGGAAUGCAUUUGUGCUCUCCCCUG
This is a small nuclear RNA of Microtus ochrogaster (prairie vole), 160 nucleotides long. Its record names the gene U1. It matches the Rfam family "U1 spliceosomal RNA". Rfam says of the family: U1 is a small nuclear RNA (snRNA) component of the spliceosome (involved in pre-mRNA splicing). Its 5' end forms complementary base pairs with the 5' splice junction, thus defining the 5' donor site of an intron. Lineage: Eukaryota; Metazoa; Chordata; Mammalia; Rodentia; Cricetidae. The record is from Ensembl.